RNAcentral lists this ribosomal RNA (494 nucleotides) under uncultured bacterium. RNAcentral's name for it is "partial 16S ribosomal RNA". It matches the Rfam family "Bacterial small subunit ribosomal RNA", at positions 28 to 507 of the family's 1533-position model. The record is from RNAcentral.
GACGAACGCCGGCGGCGUGCUUAACACAUGCAAGUCGAACGGUGAAGCGCCUUCCUUUUUGGUGGGUGUGGAUGAGUGGCGAACGGGUGAGUAACACGUGAGUAACCUGCCCCCUUCUUCUGGAUAACCGCAUGAAAGUGUGGCUAAUACGGGAUAUUCUGGGUCUGUCGCAUGAUGGGUCUGGGAAGGAUAUUGUUUCGGUGGGGGAUGGGCUCGCGGCCUAUCAGCUUGUUGGUGGGGUGAUGGCCUACCAAGGCGGUGACGGGUAGCCGGCCUGAGAGGGUGGACGGUCACACUGGGACUGAGACACGGCCCAGACUCCUACGGGAGGCAGCAGUGGGGAAUAUUGCACAAUGGGCGCAAGCCUGAUGCAGCGACGCCGCGUGAGGGAUGGAGGCCUUCGGGUUGUGAACCUCUUUCGCCAGUGAAGCAGGCCUGCCUCGUUUGUGGGUGGGUUGACGGUAGCUGGAUAAGAAGCGCCGGCUAACUACGUG